This 88-nucleotide transfer RNA is filed under the name Acidobacteriota bacterium. Its description in RNAcentral is "Acidobacteria bacterium tRNA-Leu". It matches the Rfam family "tRNA". From Rfam's summary of the family: Transfer RNA (tRNA) molecules are approximately 80 nucleotides in length. Their secondary structure includes four short double-helical elements and three loops (D, anti-codon, and T loops). The record is from RNAcentral. Lineage: Bacteria; Pseudomonadati; Acidobacteriota.
GCGGAAGUGGCGGAACUGGCAGACGCACCAGCUUGAGGGGCUGGCGAGCCAAUGGCUCAUGGGGGGUCAAAUCCCCCCUUCCGCACCA